This is a long non-coding RNA of Microtus ochrogaster (prairie vole), 1699 nucleotides long. RefSeq lists it as uncharacterized. The transcript is spliced from 3 exons. Lineage: Eukaryota; Metazoa; Chordata; Mammalia; Rodentia; Cricetidae. The record is from RefSeq and is a predicted model, not a curated record.
UAAAAAGGCUGUAUGUUUACAUCGUUCACAUUUCAGCAUCACUUGGAGAGCUGGCUUUAGAACUCCCUGCCUCAUACACACUGGGUCAUCAUCUGCACACUACAGUUGAGGAAUCCCGGUCUGAAGGCCAAUUACCUGCCAUACCUGGGUUUCCAGCUGGCAUCCUUCGGACAAAGGCCUUCCCACCGUUACCCUGACUCCAAUGACAUCUCUGGUGCGGUGGGGGCCGCGGCGCUGAAGAGUCCUUUGGUUAAGGGCGCUGUUUUCUCCUAUGUGAGGAGGUAAGCUGGCCUGUUCCUUGCCUGUUUGCUGAAGGGCCUUCUGUGGACCAUUACUCCUUAUAUCAGCAAAAGAAAAAGUGAAUUAUCGACGAUGGGAGCUAUUGAGGCAAAUCUUGGCAACCAAUCCACUCAGCUUGAGAAAAGUCGGGCUACCAUCUGAGAGCCGCGUUGUACCCUACGUUUUGUGUCUUUGUGCACCAGACUAGCUGCUCCAGCCGCGUGGGCUCUGGCGAAAUUUUCUUCGAUGUAAGUGACCACCUCCUCCUGGCGCCCUUAAGUAAUUCAUGCUUCUCCACCUGAGCACAGUAGUUAACCGUCUUAGGGACUGCCGAAAGGGAACUGUUUACUCGACCCGACUCGGACUUUAUAAGAGUAUUUCCUCAAGACCGGUGGCGUUCGCGCAGAAAGAAGGGGCAGGAGGAGGGGUAGAGGAGCCGCGGUGGCUCUACAGAACUGCUGGGAGUGGGGUGGGGCGAGGGAGCCGGACCUGGAGACGGGUGAGAGAAUCAGGAAGAAAGGCAGCCUUAAGUGAGCUGCAGGUCACAUCCCCGACCUUCCCCAGGAAACACCAGCGCCUGCCCGGCCCCAGCUUCCCUACCCACCCUCACCCGGCUCCCAGAGCACACUUAUCCAAGGAAAAUCAUCGUAAUGUCUGAGAACAAGGGAGAAAAUAUGAAGGUACAAACGCUCACGAAAUACAGCAAAUUCCUCACCAGGAGGCGAGGAGGCACGGAAGUGCCAACAGAGCAGAAGACACGGGGAAAGCUGUCAGAAGCGAAACUGGAGCUGGUCUUUGUGGUCAGGACAGGGUCUCCUCUAGCCCUGACAUGACCAUGGGUCAUCAUGGAGUAGACACGCUGUGGACACCUGAAGGACGAACGACUCUAGAUUUGCAGUAUCGGUAAUGGGGCUGUUAUAUUCCCUCAUAGGAAGGAGGAUAAUUGCAUAACCUCCUUGGGGUUCCUACUGGAGUAAACAGGGAGUGGAAGGCUGGCUGGAGGCGGGGACACCCAUGAUGGAGCUCUCCUGAGUUAUCAUCCAUGCUGAGUUGGAACUUUUUGAUAACUGCGGAUUCACCCAUGAUCCUCUACGUAACCCCUUCCCAAGACCUGUCAGUAAUUCCAGUAAACUUAUUGGCUCACUAAUGUGAACCUGGAGGAAUUAUUUCUUCUAUAUUGUUGUGUCUUGAUUGGACAGAUAGACAUUUCUUCACAUCCUGGGAAGUCACACCAUGCCUUUGUUCAGCCCUAACCAAAAAUAUAUAAUUGUGGAGCAGGUGUGCCAGGUGAGGACUAUCUCAAAAGACUCCACCAGGAGGACAGCCCUGCAGAGAGGGUCCUGCCACCACACAGAGGGUCCUGCCACCACACAGAGGGUCCUGCCGCCACACAGAGGGUCCUGCCAUCACACAGAGGGUC